CAAUAAUAAGCUUACCAGUUCAUUACAAGUACAUAGAAUGGUUGCUACAAUCAUCAUAAACUAACAUCCCAAUGUCCCUAGUGUCUACCCACCUACACUCAUGUCAUGUCAGAUUUUCUUAUCUCAUAAUUUAUCCAAUUAUGCUCUGAUACCAUAAAAGUUGUCACGCCCCCGGCCCGAGAUCGCGAGCCGGGGGUCCGCGCCAACCGCCGCACACCCGUAGAAAACUCUCCCCACGAGCAUGCAAGGCAUCUUAACCAAACAUCUCAAUUAUAUAUAUAUAUAUAUCUAAAAU
RNAcentral lists this long non-coding RNA (295 nucleotides) under Phoenix dactylifera (date palm). RNAcentral's name for it is "long non-coding RNA (PDAC_LNC019631)". Lineage: Eukaryota; Viridiplantae; Streptophyta; Magnoliopsida; Arecales; Arecaceae. The record is from RNAcentral.